GUUUUAGGCCUGCGUUUCUUUAUCCUCAUAAGCUGGUCGCUGCAAGUGAAAUCUUACUUCGAAGCCAAAUAUAUUAAACGGGUUCAAUCCCUGGUCGGGGGACUAAGAUCCCACAAGCUGCACGGCAUGCCCAAAAAAAUAAAAUGAAAAUGAAACUUGAAUCAGACCUCUGAAGCUUCUGCCAGGGAGAAAUCAAGAAAAACCUACCAGUUCCAUGGAAUGUUGUGCCAACAACACGAACACAGCUUGGUACUCGAAGAUCCCAGAACCUAACAGUCUUAUCUUGGGAACCAGAUGCAAUC
Molecule: long non-coding RNA, 302 nt
Organism: Capra hircus (goat)
Lineage: Eukaryota; Metazoa; Chordata; Mammalia; Artiodactyla; Bovidae
Exons: 3
Source: RefSeq, a predicted model, not a curated record